AUGGGCGACGUCGCUGCACCCCACGUUCUAGGUCGUCAGGGUUGGAGCCAGGCCAUGACAUCGUUGGGGCGGCAGAUUCGACCUGCCAUCAUGGAACGCUCUAGGCGAAGACCGAAGAGGAGGUGGAGGCGGAGUUGGGGGCGCGUUCGGAAGAUGAGAUUGGACGAGCGGCAGGGACAAGAGCCACGCGAGGGAAUAAAGGAAGAACCGGGUUGGGCCGGAUUUAUUCGGCCACAACGCACGGUCGGUUUCAGUUGGCCUGGCUCCGAUCGGACCAGCAGCCUGCUCCAUAAUGUCUAUACCGUCGGCCGCAGCAGUCGGCAGGCCCAGCACGCCCGGGCCCAUUGUUUCGGCCCGAGCACGCGUGGUUUUCUAUUCUUGAAAGGCAAGACGUCAACGUUAGCACACUUACGAGUCUUGCCUGUUCGGUAUGAUGCGUUCGCACACACCCAGCAAACCAGGAAAAAGAAAAACGCAGCCACGCUCUGCCUCGCGGCGCUCCGCCCCGCCCAACCCACCUCCAGCCACGCCCCGCGCGCCGCCGGCCGACUCCUGCCUCCCAAUCCCUUGUCCUCCCCACCCGGGGCUUUCUUCGCCGUUCAUAGCUCCCCUCCACUGACUGGUCGCGACCUCGCUGGAGGCACAGGAUGGGAGGGUGCGGCGCUGGCAUCCGGCUCACAGAGAUCGAGCGGACCGAUCUGCGCGCCGGCGACCUCGCGGGAGGCAGAGGAUGGGAUGGCGUGCUGCGCUCAAGACGAGCGGGCUCGAGUAAGGGUAUCGGAGGUUGGCGCCGGCGGGCUCGUGGACGGGGAUGGAGAGGGCAGGUGCCAAUCCGCCGUGACAAGAAAGCUGCUGCGGCGCCGACCGGCCAGCUCCAUCUCCACGAUUCCAUGGACGGCGGCCGUGGCGAUGAUGCCACGGAUGGAGGCGCUCGCCGCCGGCCGCGCGCGGCUGGAGGCCGUCAACGCGCUGCAGCACGAGUCCUGGCCCCUAGGAGGCCCGCGACGUUCGCCUCCAGUGGGGCCUCCUCAAGCGUGUGCUCGAGGAGAUGUCAGGCGGAUGAGAACUGGAGGAUGUGGGAGGCAACGUGCAUGGCCCUACUGCGCUCCGACGAUGACCGGAUGUUCCUCGCUGGAAAACGAGGAGCUUAAGUGCAUCCAUCAAGCAAAUUGUUUGACCAUUAAUACAGAGCACCUCCAUGUACACGUGGUCAACGUGUUGCUCGCCGACCGUGUUAUUCUUGAGAUCCGCGUGAAGACGGGGGAUCGGGCCUCCAGCACAAUUCGUUCUUUAGCAAUACGUGUUAGAGCUAUGGAUGCUGAACUCGCUAGAUUCCUUUUUGCUAUGUCCGCAGGGAGGUCGCUUCUGGCAUGUUCCGCAAGUUCAAAACAAAGAACAUCUCUAUUUGCACAGCCCUUCAGGGGAACAAAUGGAUUUCUGCACUCCGUCAGGAUUCUGACCGUGGACAAGCUGAUCCAGAGAGGAUGGCAAGGAAGCGAGAUUUGUUCGAUGUGCAGUUCGCGGGAGGAGUCAGUGGAGCAUCUUCUUCUGAACUUCUAUUUUGCUCGCCAAUUUUGGAGGAGGAUCGCGGCUUGGUCUUGUUUCGAUUUGAGACAUUAUGACGUGAAGAUGGCCUCCGGGAGGGCACGUUUACCAGGGUACCAGGACAUUUCUCAAGUCCUUCUCACCUUCGCCAUCGCAACCUCUCUCCUUCAAACCGUACUUCCCUACAAACCGCCAAGGAGUCCCCCAGCAACCACCCCGCUCUCCGCCCUAACCCCCUCCCCUUGUGUCCGUGCCGAUUCGACACCACCAACAAGGGGGUGGGGGUGGAGGAAGCGUGAGCCGGUUCUACAACCACAAGUGCAGAGCCUCAUGCAAUGUAAGAUUCGGGCCCAAACAAUGUCGACACCAUCUCGCUUCUCUCUUGCAGCCACCACAUCCCCUCAUUUUUUUUCUCCCCAUUCCAAGUGCCUCCUUCUCAAAUGCACAACCUUGCAAGGUAUUGUAUUUGUCCUCCCAAAUUCUCAGUCUUCUUACAUCUCAAAUUAUCUCGGGCUCCAAGUAAAUGUGCAUCCUCAGAUGCGCAACCCUGAACAAAACAAGGCAUUGUAUUUGUCCUCCCAUGUUCUCAUUCUUCAUACCUCUCAAAUUAUCUCCACUACACAAAAUGUGUUGCCUCUUCUUAACGUCCACUAA
Molecule: ribosomal RNA, 2199 nt
Filed under: Triticum aestivum (bread wheat)
Lineage: Eukaryota; Viridiplantae; Streptophyta; Magnoliopsida; Poales; Poaceae
Description: partial small subunit ribosomal RNA
Source: RNAcentral